Molecule: transfer RNA, 73 nt
Filed under: Candidatus Woesearchaeota archaeon
Lineage: Archaea; Nanobdellati; Candidatus Woesearchaeota
Description: tRNA-Tyr
Rfam family: tRNA
About the family: Transfer RNA (tRNA) molecules are approximately 80 nucleotides in length. Their secondary structure includes four short double-helical elements and three loops (D, anti-codon, and T loops).
Source: RNAcentral
CCCUCCUUAGCUCAGCGGCUAGAGCGCUCGGCUGUAGACCGAGAGGUCCCCGGUUCGAAUCUGGGAGGAGGGA